RNAcentral lists this ribosomal RNA (468 nucleotides) under uncultured bacterium. RNAcentral's name for it is "partial 16S ribosomal RNA". It matches the Rfam family "Bacterial small subunit ribosomal RNA", at positions 28 to 507 of the family's 1533-position model. The record is from RNAcentral.
GACGAACGCUGGCGGCGUGCUUAACACAUGCAAGUCGAACGGAAAGGCCCUGCUUUUGUGGGGUGCUCCAGUGGCGAACGGGUGAGUAACACGUGAGUAACCUGCCCUUGACUUUGGGAUAACUUCAGGAAACUGGGGCUAAUACCGGAUAGGAGCUCCUGCUGCAUGGUGGGGGUUGGAAAGUUUCGGCGGUUGGGGAUGGACUCGCGGCUUAUCAGCUUGUUGGUGGGGUAGUGGCUUACCAAGGCUUUGACGGGUAGCCGGCCUGAGAGGGUGACCGGCCACAUUGGGACUGAGAUACAGCCCAGACUCCUACGGGAGGCAGCAGUGGGGAAUAUUGCACAAUGGGCGGAAGCCUGAUGCAGCAACGCCGCGUGCGGGAUGACGGCCUUCGGGUUGUAAACCGCUUUCGCCUGUGACGAAGCGUGAGUGACGGUAAUGGGUAAAGAAGCACCGGCUAACUACGUG